GUCCACGCCCUAAACGAUGCACGUUUGGUGUAGGUCAUUCAGUUGAUCUGUGCCGGAGCUAACGCGUUAAACGUGCCGCCUGGGGAGUACAGUCGCAAGGCUGAAACUCAAAGGAAUUGACGGGGGCCCGCACAAGCGGUGGAGCAUGUGGUUCAAUUCGACGCAACGCGAAGAACCUUACCUGGGCUCGAACGGCUGGUCAACGGCGGUGGAAACACUGCUACCCCGCAAGGGGGUCCAGUCGAGGUGCUGCAUGGCUGUCGU
Molecule: ribosomal RNA, 264 nt
Filed under: uncultured bacterium
Lineage: Bacteria
Description: partial 16S ribosomal RNA
Rfam family: Bacterial small subunit ribosomal RNA
Source: RNAcentral